AGACCAAGAUGUGAGGUGUCUGCUGUUAAUUCCAGCUUCCACCUCAGUGACAGUGCAAGCUCAGUGAACUGUUCAAGGUAAAAAAAAAUGUAAACAUUUCAGAAUUUUUAAGAUAUUAACAAUUACAUAAACGUAUGUGAUUACAUCAUGAAGGAGGCUACUGAUUCUGGCCCUGUGACACUUGGUGGUGACGUGUGAGCUGAUUCACCUGGACACUCAGCAAAAUAUGGACUCUACACCAUGAGGCAGGCACAUGUUAAUACUCUAUAAGAGCACAUAAGCAUGAGGAUGUCCUCACACACCUGUAACCUAUCAGCUCAUCUGACAGAAUAGAGAGAGAAGAGACAACACCACAUCUCCUGUUCCUGGAAAGCCUUCAGCCAUCCUUCGAUGACUGAGAACCUCCAUCAGCUCUGUCUCCUGUCUGCCUACAAUUAUUAUAAUAAAUAUUGUGUUUGACAA
Nothobranchius furzeri (turquoise killifish) is the source of this 462-nucleotide non-coding RNA. Lineage: Eukaryota; Metazoa; Chordata; Actinopteri; Cyprinodontiformes; Nothobranchiidae. The record is from RefSeq and is a predicted model, not a curated record.